UACGAAGGGGGCUAGCGUUGUUCGGAAUUACUGGGCGUAAAGCGCACGUAGGCUGACUUUUAAGUCAGGGGUGAAAUCCCGGGGCUCAACCUCGGAACUGCCUUUGAUACUGGAAGUCUUGAGUCCGAGAGAGGUGAGUGGAACUCCGAGUGUAGAGGUGAAAUUCGUAGAUAUUCGGAGGAACACCAGUGGCGAAGGCGGCUCACUGGCUCGAAACUGACGCUGAGGUGCGAAAGCGUGGGGAGCAAACAGG
This 253-nucleotide unclassified non-coding RNA is filed under the name uncultured Alphaproteobacteria bacterium. RNAcentral describes it as "contains 16S-23S intergenic spacer region". It matches the Rfam family "Bacterial small subunit ribosomal RNA", at positions 524 to 776 of the family's 1533-position model. Lineage: Bacteria; Pseudomonadati; Pseudomonadota; Alphaproteobacteria. The record is from RNAcentral.